CAAUAGCGUAUAUUAAAGUUGUUGCAGUUAAAAAGCUCGUAGUUGGAUUUGUGGCGUACGGUGUGUUCCGGGCACUUGUUGUCUGAGUAACCUGCUGUUGCCAUCCUUGGGUGGAACCUGUGUGGCAUUAGGUUGUCGUGCAGGGGAUGCCCAUCAUUUACUGUGAAAAAAUUAGAGUGUUCAAAGCAGGCUUAUGCCGUUGAAUAUAUUAGCAUGGAAUAAUGAGAUAGGACUUUUUUGCUAUUUUGUUGGUUUGCACAAGAAGGUAAUGAUUAAUAGGGACAGUUGGGGGUAUUCGUAUUCCAUUGUCAGAGGUGAAAUUCUUGGAUUUUUGGAAGACGAACUACUGCGAAAGCAUUUACCAAGGAUGUUUUCAUUAA
RNAcentral lists this ribosomal RNA (380 nucleotides) under uncultured eukaryote. RNAcentral describes it as "partial 18S ribosomal RNA". It matches the Rfam family "Eukaryotic small subunit ribosomal RNA", at positions 592 to 976 of the family's 1831-position model. The record is from RNAcentral.